Leopardus geoffroyi (Geoffroy's cat) is the source of this 5065-nucleotide RNA transcript. It is a transcript of the gene named phospholipid-transporting ATPase IB-like, with no coding region annotated. The transcript is spliced from 32 exons. The record is from RefSeq and is a predicted model, not a curated record. NCBI's taxonomy places the organism in Eukaryota, Metazoa, Chordata, Mammalia, Carnivora, Felidae.
GGCCCCGAGUCCGGCUGGAGCGCGCGCUGGGCGCAGUCCCCCGAGCCGGCCGUGUGGUGUGACGCCAGGUUGCGGACCCGGCCGCCCGCGACAUCCCUGUCCCGCACUUCGUCCGAACUAGCGCGCCGGGGCCCCCUGCGAGCCCUCUGCAGAGAAACGCGGGCGCGAGAGAGGACCUGUUGAUUUCUCUUUAAUCUGUCAGAAGGUGGAGGAAAAGAUGGGCUGCCAACAGUCUCUGCAAGGAUCAGACGUGUCCAAAGUCCGCACCAUUUACCUCAAUGAGCCCAUUAGGAACAACUUCUGCAAAAACUCCAUCAGCACAGCCAAGUACAGCAUAUGGUCAUUCCUCCCUCGAUACCUGUAUCUGCAGUUUAGCAAAGCUGCUAAUGCUUUCUUCCUGUUCAUUACUAUAUUGCAGCAAAUUCCAGAUGUGUCUCCAACGGGAAAAUAUACAACUCUCUUGCCUUUGAUGAUUAUACUUACCAUUUCAGGCAUCAAAGAGAUUGUAGAAGAUUAUAAACGACAUAUGGCAGACAGAUUAGUCAACACAAAGAACACAAUAGUGUUCAGAGAGAAUGAAUGGAAAGUGAUUAUGUGGAAAGAGGUCAAGGUGGGUGACAUUGUGAAGGCCUCAAAUGGACAAUUCCUUCCUGCAGACAUGGUUCUGAUUUCUUCCAGUGAACCUGAGGCAACAUGUUAUGUUGCAACAUCUAAUCUGGAUGGGGAGACAAACCUAAAAAUACGGCAGGCUUUGUUAGAAACAGCUGAAAUGCAAACAGAACAAUUGUCAAGCCUCUCUGGAAAAAUAGAAUGUGAAGGACCUAAUCGUCAUUUCAAUACCUUCAUUGGAACCUUGUAUCUAAAUGGUAAAAGCCCUGUUGCAGUAGGGCCUGAUCAGGUCUUGCUAAGAGGUACACAACUUAAAAAUACCCAGUGGAUCCUUGGCAUAGUUGUUUACACUGGAUCUGAAACCAAAUUCAUGCAGAAUUCCAUCAAAUUGCCUCUCAAGAGAUCGACUGUUGAGAAGGUGACCAACGUGCAGAUCCUGGUGUUGUUCCUGCUGCUUCUGGCCAUGUCCUUGGUGAGCUGUGUGGGAGCCAUACUCUGGAAGGAAGGGCACGGAGGAGACAUUUGGUACAUCGGGACGAAGGAUUACAGCUCCCACAGCUUAGGGUUUGACAUAUUGGUGUUCAUCAUCUUGUAUCACAAUCUCAUCCCCAUUAGCCUGCUGGUCACUCUGGAAAUUGUGAAAUAUAUUCAGGCCCUGUUUAUAAACUGGGACGAAGAUAUGCAUUAUGAAGGAAAUAACGUCUAUGCCAUGGCCAGAACGUCCAAUCUUAACGAAGAGCUUGGGCAGGUAAAAUAUUUAUUUUCUGAUAAAACAGGAACACUCACUUGCAAUAUUAUGACAUUGAAGAAGUGUACCAUUGCAGGUAUAAUUUAUGGAAAUCUGUCAAACAGAAGUGAUACCGUUUUGGACAACCUAAGUGCAUCACCGUCUGCCAUCACAGAAUCCGGUGGAUUUAAUGACCCAGCAUUGUUGCAGAACUUUGAGAAUGGCCACCCCACGAAAGAUUACAUAAAGGAGUUUCUCACCCUGCUAUGUGUGUGUCACACGGUUGUUCCUGAGAGAGACGGAGGCAAUACAACCUACCAGGCUUCCUCCCCAGAUGAAGCAGCUUUAGUGAAAGGAAUGAAGAAACUUGGCUUUGUUUUUACUACAAGAACGCCAUCCUCUGUCACCAUAAAUGCUAUGGGAGAAAACUUCACAUUUGAAAUUCUUAACAUCCUGGAGUUUUCUAGUAAUAGAAAAAGGAUGUCUGUAAUUGUCCGAACUCCUACAGGAAAGCUCCGGCUGUACUGCAAAGGGGCUGAUACAGUGAUUUAUGAGAGACUUUCAGAUGACUCUCUCUUUGUGAAGGAGACAUUAACCCAUCUGGAAUAUUUUGCCAAAGAAGGACUGAGAACUCUCUGCAUUGCCUAUACAGAUUUAACGGAGAAACAAUAUCAACAGUGGUUGAUGGAGUAUAAAAAAGCAAGCACAGUUAUACAGGACAGAAGGCAGAGUUUGGAAGAAUGUUACGAUCAUAUCGAAAAGGAAUUUCUGCUGCUUGGUGCCACAGCCAUUGAAGAUCACCUUCAAGCACGUGUUCCAGAAACGAUAACAUCUUUACUGAACGCAAACAUAAAAAUAUGGGUCCUGACAGGAGAUAAACAAGAAACUGCAAUUAACAUAGCAUAUUCCUGUAAACUGUUAUCAACUAAAAUGCCUUGUAUUCGAUUGAAUUCAAACUCACUCGAGGCAACACAACAAGCAGUUAAUCAGAACUGUCAAGAUCUUGGAGUCCUGUUAGGUGAAGAAAAUGACCUGGCCCUCAUCAUUGAUGGUGAAACACUGAAGUAUGCCUUCCAUCCUGAAGUUAAGAGGAGCUUUGUCAACUUGGCCCUCUCAUGUAGAGCAGUAUUAUGUUGUAGGUUAUCUCCCCUCCAGAAGGCAGAAAUAGUCGACGUGGUUAAGAAGCACGUAGGGGCCAUCACUCUUGCCAUCGGGGAUGGUGCCAAUGACGUUGGGAUGAUCCAGAUGGCCCACGUGGGUGUGGGAAUCAGUGGGAACGAGGGCAUGCAGGCCACCAACAACUCAGAUUUUGCCAUUGCACAGUUUAGCUACUUGGAGAAGCUUCUGUUGGUUCAUGGAGCUUGGAAUUAUUUUCGAGUGACAAAAUGCAUAUUAUAUUGUUUCUACAAAAAUGUCGUGUUAUAUGUUAUUGAGCUUUGGUUCGCCUUUGUUAAUGGAUUUUCUGGGCAGAUUAUAUUUGAACGCUGGUGCAUCGGCUUGUACAAUGUGAUUUUCACUUCAUUACCACCUCUUACUCUGGGAAUCUUUGAACAGUGUUGCAGUGAGAAGAGCCUGCUUAGGUGCCCACAACUCUAUAGGAUUUCUCAGGCAGGGAAAAUUUUCAACACAAAGGUAUUUUGGUUUCAAUGCAUAAAUGCUUUGGUCCAUUCCUUCAUUCUCUUCUGGUUGCCCAUGAAAAUGCUGGAGCAUGAUAUGGUCUUACAAGGGGGUUACACUACAGACUAUUUGUUUCUCGGAAAUUUCAUUUAUACGGUAAGAUUACCCAUAUGAUUCAAUCGCUUUUUCUAGUUUUUAAUUGAAAAUUUCAAGCAUUAUAAGAAUUCCAUAAGUUUUAAAUCUCCCUCAUGCUCCCAUACUUUUUCCAAGGAGGAACAGUGGUUGCAUAUGCAUGUGUGUUGUGUGUGUGUAUAUAUACACACACAUAUGUAAUUUGUAGGAAUGUGAAAUACAUGUACCUAAUGUAUAUUAUCCUCUCUUCUUUUGUACAAGCAGGGAGAUGCUCUUUUAUAUCUUGUUUUUUCACUACACAGCGUACCUGCGUGAUGGUAUUUAACUAGUCUCCUAUUAGUGGAAAGAUUGUUCUGGGUCCUUUGCCAUUGUCAACAGUGUUGUAGUCUAUUCUUUAUGCCCAUGGGUAGGUAGAUCUGUAGGAUAAAUUUCUAGAAGUGUACCUGGCUGGAUCAGAGAGUACUGUGAAUCUUGGAAAUUAUUACUAAAUUAUCCCCCCAAAAGGUUGUACACAGUUAGUCAUGAGAACAUGAGUGACCCCACAUAUUUACCGCCCCCACUGGCGGUAGUCUUACCACACUUUUUGAUCUAGUAGGUAAAAUGGUAUUCUAUUGCAGUUUUUGCUUUGAGGAUAGCAUAUUUGCAUGAAGUAAAAAAAAAAACCCUUUCAUUUCUUUUGUAUGUGUGUGUAUAAAAGUUUGUUGAAUUACUUUACCAAUUGUCCUACAGGGUUGUUGGUCUUUUUAUUAGUAGUAGUAGAUAUUUGUGUGUUAAGGAUGUUAAUUUUCCCCCCAUAUUUGUUACAUAAAUAUAUUUCCAGUUUUGCAUAUUAUUUUUCAUGCCAUUUUUGUCAUGCAUGUAUUCUGCAUGUUGGUUUUAUGUAGUUAAAUGUAUUGAUAUUUUUCUUUAUGGCUUCUGAGUUUUGUGUCUUAUUCACAAUGUUGUAUGUUAUUCUUUUGGUCUGCAAGUGGAAACAUAUUCCUCUGCAUGUUUGUUUUUUUGUUUUUUUUCAUUUAACAACACAUGUUGGAACAACAAAACCACAAACCAUGUUUUUCCUCACGUUUUCUUCUACGUAAGAAGCAAUUUAUUGGCAUAUUGCCUCUUUUCACUUUAGCUGGUUGUCGUUAUUACUUCAUGAUAAUGGGCAUGGCUUUUAACUCUGUGUUAUAUCUUCCUAAACAUCAAAUGAGGUUAGGUUUCUUAUUUAUUUGGACAUACGCAUAUAGUAAAUUUCCUUCUUUUCAGACCUCCUCACAUAUAGACAUGCAUGCAUACAAACAUAAAAGAUAUUCCUUGUUAAGAUGCCCAAGUAAAUUGAUAUAAAGGAAUCUCAACCUCCUAAGACAAAAAAUGAAUAUAUACAGUAAAACCAGCAACAACAAACUACGGCAAAAUCAAUUCAGCACAGCAACCAAAGAAGUAGAGGGGACGGCACCAAUGCUAAAAACCUCAAAAUGAGAUGUCAGGGGAGAAAUGGGAGAGUUGGCAGGGUCAGCAUGGUGACAUCACUGAUCCAGCUUUCCUGACAUGCUGUUCCCAGUGCCAGUGAGUUGGAGGAAGCACUAAGCCAAAACAGAGCAGCUGGAGGAAUGGAGUAAACCUCCAGGGAAGUAGAGUCUGCCUUGAUGCUCUCAGGGAAUUAAAGAAGGCCAGUGGGACUAAAGCACAGUGCAAACUGUGUGGCGGGCAAGGGAGGCUCAGGAUAAUGGCAAAGACGAACUUGGAGUGGUAGGUAGGGGCCAGUGCCUUGCCACCUUUAAGGUUUUGGAGAAGCUUAGAUGGGACGAUGCAGGCUAGCUGCAAUGCUGAGUCUAGAGCGAGAAGAGUGGACAUAAAGUCUGCUUCUAAAGCAGGACUUUAAACACCCAGUGUAUCACACGUCUAUUGCUGCACAGGAACCCACACUGUGACAAAAUCAUACUUAAUGGAACACUGAAAGCUUUUUUUUUUUUUUUUUUUGAGAUUAAGAAUAGAUGA